Molecule: long non-coding RNA, 829 nt
Filed under: Cyanistes caeruleus (blue tit)
Lineage: Eukaryota; Metazoa; Chordata; Aves; Passeriformes; Paridae
Description: lncRNA (ENSCCEG00000018990.1)
Source: RNAcentral
CAUUCUCUAGCUGGACUGCAACAUUAUUAACUCAACUGGAAACCACUUGGCAGAAAAUCACACAGAAGAAGGCAUAUCAACUCUGUCUCCUGAAGUGGUCUCUGAUUCAAAUAGGAUCUCCAGAUCAUGGUCCUGCUAACAUACUACAUUCCAAACACAUUUAAAGCUUCACAAUGAUCAAAGAUGACAAUGUCAACACUCGCAAAAGAUGUUCUUUAAAGCAUUCUGCUUCUGCCACUAAAAUUCUUUACACCAACAGCCUUUAUUUCCAGCAUGAACUCUCAGCCUUACAGAGGAAACUUCAAUAUGGAGAAUAUUCUCCAAAAACUGCAGACAGUUAAUGCUUCAUUUCUGUCUUUUGAAGGGAAAAAACAAGCCUCUUCAACAUUCUUAGGAAGUAAAUAUACCAGAAAAAUUUACAAAGCUUCCCAAGAAAUCACCUGUGAAGUUUAAAAAUUGUAAAUCUCUAGCAUGCCAUAAAAAACAUUUCCCAUCAAAACAGCAAAUUUAUAUAGUAUUUACAUGCAUAUUAUGACCAAUUCAUAGGGCACAGUGCCAGUUACACUGAGACUGGCAGGAACUUUCAUGGCUUAACGAGAACAAGGUUUUCCCUCUAAAUUUUAGAGGUAGGAGUGUAGGAGAAGACAUUAUGGGACACAGGGAAUGGGGUGCAGCUGUGUAAGACAAACUAACAGCAGUGAAGGAGAACGGAAUGCUGAGGUGUAUUGGCCAACCACAAAACAGUAAAAGGGAACAGGUGUUAUGCAUGUGAGAAACAGGGUAUGGAAGGUUGCACUGGGGAAUAAUAAACUGCUGAUGCCUGAAACCA